AACGCGAAGAACCUUACCUGGGCUCGAACGACUGGUGGUACCUUAUUUGAAAGGAUGAGGGACCCGCAAGGGAGCCAGCCGAGGUGCUGCAUGGUUGUCGUCAGCUCGUGUCGUGAGAUGUUGGGUUAAGUCCCGCAACGAGCGCAACCCUUGUCCUGUGUUGCUACCCGAAAGGGAGGACUCUCAGGAGACUGCCGCGGAUAACGUGGAGGAAGGUGGGGAUGACGUCAAAUCAUCAUGGCCUUUAUGUCCAGGGCUACACACGUGCUACAAUGGCGUAUACAGAGGGAAGCAAGACCGCAAGGUGGAGCAAAUCCCUAAAGUACGCCCCAGUUCGGAUUGUGGGCUGCAAUUCGCCCACAUGAAGGUGGAAUCGCUAGUAAUCGCAGAUCAGCAGGCUGCGGUGAAUACGUUCCCGGGCCUUGUACACACCGCUACAGU
This 441-nucleotide ribosomal RNA is filed under the name uncultured bacterium. RNAcentral describes it as "bacterial SSU rRNA". It matches the Rfam family "Bacterial small subunit ribosomal RNA", at positions 958 to 1401 of the family's 1533-position model. The record is from RNAcentral.